This 916-nucleotide ribosomal RNA is filed under the name uncultured bacterium. RNAcentral's name for it is "bacterial SSU rRNA". It matches the Rfam family "Bacterial small subunit ribosomal RNA", at positions 1 to 870 of the family's 1533-position model. The record is from RNAcentral.
UUUGUGCCCGGACGUCGCCGUGCUUCCCGAGCGGCCAUAGCGGCGCGGAAAUGUCGAUUGUUUGAUCCGGCUCAGGAUGAACGCUAGCGGCAGAGCUUAUCACUUGCAAGUCGAAGAGUAAAAUAGUAGCAUACUAUGAGACCGGCAAACGGAUACGGAACACGUACAGAACGUACCUUUAUCUGGGACAUAGCCCGGAGAAAUCCAGAUUAAACUCCCCAUAGUAUCAUGGGAUGGCAUCAUUUGGUGAUUAAAAAUUUAUUGGAUAAAGAUGGCUGUGCGUCCCAUUAGCUAGUUGGUAGGGUAACGGCUUUCCAAGGCGACGAUGGGUAGCUGGUGUGAGAGCACGACCAGCCACACGGGCACUGAGACACGGGCCCGACUCCUACGGGAGGCAGCAGUGAGGAAUAUUGGUCAAUGGACGCAAGUCUGAACCAGCCAUGCCGCGUGAAGGAUGAAGGCCUUCUGGGUUGUAAACUUCUUUUAUGUGGGAAGAAACCUCUGAUUUCUAUUAGAGUUGACGGUACCAUAGGAAUAAGCACCGGCUAACUCCGUGCCAGCAGCCGCGGUAAUACGGAGGGUGCAAGCGUUAUCCGGAUUUACUGGGUUUAAAGGGUGUGUAGGCGGGCCUUUAAGUCAGUGGUGAAAUCUCCGGGCUCAACCCGGAAACUGCCAUUGAUACUAUUGGUCUUGAAUUCUGUUGAGGUGGGCGGAAUAAGUCAUGUAGCGGUGAAAUGCAUAGAUAUGACUUAGAACACCAAUUGCGAAGGCAGCUCGCUAAGCAGAUAUUGACGCUGAGGCACGAAAGCGUGGGGAUCAAACAGGAUUAGAUACCCUGGUAGUCCACGCCCUAAACGAUGAUUACUCGACAUACGCGAUACACAGUGUGUGUCUGAGCGAAAGCAUUAAGUAAUCC